CCCCCAACAAAACAUGUUAAACAAAUCAAAAAUAUAUUUUUAUAUUUGAGAUUCUUCAAAGUAGCCACUGGCUUGCCUUGAUGACAGCGUUGCUGUGUCCAAACCUUUUUGACUGGUACUGUAAACGGUGUAGACAAGGGACUCGACAAUAAUGGAAUAAGAACCAGGUCUGUUGUGUCAUUUUAAAAGCUGACAUUCUAUAGCCUGGUUCCAGGUCUGUUGUGUCGUUUUAAAGGCUGACAUUCUAUAGCCUGGUUCCAGGUCUGUUGUGUUGUUUUAAAGGCUGACAUUCUAUAGCCUGGUUCCAGGUCUGUUGUGUCGUUUUAAAGGCUGACAUUCUAUAGCCUGGUUCCAGGUCUGUUGUGUCGUUUUAAAGGCUGACAUUCUAUAGCCUGGUUCCAGGUCUGUUUGUACUGUGUAAAGUAGCAAAACAGCACAAACCAAUCUGGGACCAGGCUAGAUGUUUUAAAUUUGAUGUAAGGUAUUUGGUAUUGGUAUUUAUUAGCCGUUGUCGAAAGCAGCAGCUAGUUUUCCUGGGAUCCAGAGCUUUUUUAUUUCCAGGGAUGAGGUGAUAGGAUCAUUUAAACUGCUAAAAUGAUGCCCCUCACAAUAACAAAGGGUUUCUUUCAGCUGCGACGACUGACUGCCAUUCAUAUUAUAACAGAUGCUUAACACUGCUUUCAGGUUGCAAUCCAGGCUAAUAGCUUGUAUAAUAUAUAAUAAUAUGCCACGUUUCUUUGUCACCUGUGUGUAUAUAUAUUUUACGUACGGGUGGUCCCAGACAUUGAACCAACUACCCUGGCAUUACAAGAGCCAUGCUCAACCAACCUGUUUGAACACUGGCUGUAUAUGGCCACGUUGAUGACUUCUACAUAACAUGAUGAGUCUGCUUUGAUUUUGUAGAGGAAACAAGUUGUUUUACAAGUUGAAGAUUACAAUUUUUAUUCACCUGUAAUCUGUCUCCUGUUGUAGCUGUACAUACCGAUAUUUGAUCUAAUCUGUCUCCUGUUGUAGCUGUACAUACCGAUAUUUGAUCUAAUCUGUCUCCUGUUGUAGCUGUACAUACCGAUAUUUGAUCUAAUCUGUCUCCACUUGUAGCUGUACAUACCGAUAUUUGAUCUAAUCUGUCUCCACUUGUAGCUGUAUCUACAGAUUAGUGUUGCACCGAUAUUACAUUUUUUGGCCGAUACCGAUA
Oncorhynchus gorbuscha (pink salmon) is the source of this 1195-nucleotide long non-coding RNA. RefSeq lists it as uncharacterized. The transcript has 2 exons. Lineage: Eukaryota; Metazoa; Chordata; Actinopteri; Salmoniformes; Salmonidae. The record is from RefSeq and is a predicted model, not a curated record.